UACGUAGGGGGCAAGCGUUGUCCGGAUUUAUUGGGCGUAAAGCGCACGCAGGCGGUGCGGCAAGUCACAAGUGACAGGUGGUGGCUUAACUACCACAGGCCUUGGGAAACUGCUGCACUUGAGGGCUUGAGAGGGACGCGGAAUUCCAGGUGGAGCGGUGAAAUGCGUAGAGAUCUGGAAGAACACCAAAGGCGAAGGCAGCGUCCUGGCGAGUCACUGACGCUCAGGUGCGAAAGCUAGGGGAGCGAACGGG
RNAcentral lists this ribosomal RNA (253 nucleotides) under uncultured bacterium. RNAcentral's name for it is "partial 16S ribosomal RNA". It matches the Rfam family "Bacterial small subunit ribosomal RNA", at positions 524 to 776 of the family's 1533-position model. The record is from RNAcentral.